Lagopus muta (rock ptarmigan) is the source of this 400-nucleotide long non-coding RNA. RefSeq lists it as uncharacterized. The record is from RefSeq and is a predicted model, not a curated record. The transcript has 3 exons. NCBI's taxonomy places the organism in Eukaryota, Metazoa, Chordata, Aves, Galliformes, Phasianidae.
AAAAAAAAGAAAAAGCCACUACAAAGAUACAUCUCAACAAAUCAAAGGAAAAAUUAAGUAUGAGAAAGCAAAUGGAGAGAUCAAGCUUGCCCCAGAAGUUGAAACAGGACAAGACUGCAGUCUAGCAUGCUCUCACAAGCAGGACUGAGAAGGAUUAUGAUCUGCCCUGACUUACACCAGGCACGAGUGGGAAGCUUGCAUCAUACAUCUUGUUUUCAUGGAGGGUGCUGUUAUCUCUGUGAAAGUUUACCUUUUUUCUUCAUCAGACUGGAUGUCACGCAUGAACAUAGAAUGAAGUAGAAUAAAUGGUUCUUACCAUUGAAGUGUCACUGAGAGCUCCUGGUGCUAUGGAGUUCUGCUGCCACGAGGCCACGAGGCAAAUGUCAUUUAGGGAUGAUGC